This 292-nucleotide ribosomal RNA is filed under the name uncultured bacterium. Its description in RNAcentral is "partial 16S ribosomal RNA". It matches the Rfam family "Bacterial small subunit ribosomal RNA", at positions 505 to 796 of the family's 1533-position model. The record is from RNAcentral.
GUGCCAGCAGCCGCGGUAAUACGGGGGGUGCGAGCGUUGUCCGGAAUCACUGGGCGUAAAGGGCGCGUAGGUGGUCUGAUAAGGGUGUGGUGAAAGCCCGGGGCUCAACCCCGGGUCGGCCGUGCCGACUGUUGGACUAGAGUGCUGUAGGGGCAGGCGGAAUUCCGGGUGUAGCGGUGGAAUGCGUAGAGAUCCGGAGGAAGACCGGUGGCGAAGGCGGCCUGCUGGGCAGUUACUGACACUGAGGCGCGACAGCGUGGGGAGCAAACAGGAUUAGAUACCCCAGUAGUCC